RNAcentral lists this ribosomal RNA (492 nucleotides) under uncultured bacterium. Its description in RNAcentral is "partial 16S ribosomal RNA". It matches the Rfam family "Bacterial small subunit ribosomal RNA", at positions 36 to 507 of the family's 1533-position model. The record is from RNAcentral.
CGUUCCCUCUGGCGGUAGGCCUAACACAUGCAAGUCGAACGGAAGCACAGUAAGAGCUUGCUCUUACGGGAGGCGAGUGGCGGACGGGUGAGGAAUACAUCGGAAUCUACUUUUUCGUGGGGGAUAACGUAGGGAAACUUACGCUAAUACCGCAUACGACCUACGGGUGAAAGCAGGGGAUCUUCGGACCUUGCGCGAUUGAAUGAGCCGAUGUCGGAUUAGCUAGUUGGCGGGGUAAAGGCCCACCAAGGCGACGAUCCGUAGCUGGUCUGAGAGGAUGAUCAGCCACACUGGAACUGAGACACGGUCCAGACUCCUACGGGAGGCAGCAGUGGGGAAUAUUGGACAAUGGGCGCAAGCCUGAUCCAGCCAUACCGCGUGGGUGAUGAAGGCCUUCGGGUUGUAAAGCCCUUUUGUUGGGAAAGAAAAGCAGCAGGUUAAUAUCUCGCUGUUCUGACGGUACCCAAAGAAUAAGCACCGGCUAACUUCGUG